UAUGCCUGUUUGCACGUUUCAUCAGUCACAGGUAUUUUACAAAUAUAUAUCAUUCAUGACAAUAAUAAUGCUGUGAUUACAUCUGAUUUGUGCGUCUUGUUGGUCAAACUUUAUGCGACACAUGACUGAAAAUUUUGUAGGCAUGUUUGGAUGGAUUAUUUAACUUGAAUUAUUUUUUAGUUUUGUACUCACAAGUGAGCUGAAAGUUUAGUUGCUGCUGCAAAUGGUGGUAUUCCAUGAUCUGCUACAUUGAGCUUUUUGCUUCUUAAAAUCUUCCUAUCCAAUGAGUACUCUACAUAGCUACUUGAAAGUUAUAUGUUUAUACAAGAAAGGGUUGCAUAGAUGCAAUCUAGUACUUCCUUUGGGUGUCGAUUAAUUUGCCGCAGAUGAAGGCAAGUGCCACUUAAGUAGAAUUUAGGACCACCAUUAAAGUGAGUGGUCCUGAGCAUGCUUGCAUCCAUCCAUGAUCUAUCUGCCAUGGGUUGUUCAACACUGAGCAACCACUUAAUUAGCAUAUUCAGGUUUGCAGAUUGACUUGAUGUGGUGUGCUGAUUUUGUAAGCAGGAAAUUGCUCCAUGAUGCCUGGCUUUACUUCCGUGCUCCAUCAUGUGUGGUCCUUGAAUUCUUGUGAACAUUUCCCCCUUGAUUGAUGUGGAAAAUGUGUCCGAAUUGGUGACAUCAUUUCUUGAACAGGUGGCAACUGGCAAGAGGAAUGGCAGAUCUUUGAUCAAACAACCACAUGCCCUGCACUAUCCUGCAUAUAUGCCUAGAGAAAAAGCAAAGUUACAGGCCAACAGUUUUGGCCAGUGAGCAAGCACAAAAGCAGGAAAAGAAGGGAUUAACCUAAAGCUAAAGCGGCAUCUCUUUUGCCCGCAUCUUUUCUAGGGCAACGAACAUUUCCAAGGAGACAGUGUCUGUGGAGUGCACCCCGUAGCACACGUAGAAGAUGGUGAUCACAAGGCUCCAGAUGCCGAACCUCUGAAAGGACCUCACCUUCAGGGUUGUCAUGAGGAACACAUUCAGGAAGACGGACGCGGC
Triticum dicoccoides is the source of this 1038-nucleotide long non-coding RNA. RefSeq lists it as uncharacterized. The transcript has 4 exons. The record is from RefSeq and is a predicted model, not a curated record. NCBI's taxonomy places the organism in Eukaryota, Viridiplantae, Streptophyta, Magnoliopsida, Poales, Poaceae.